UUUGGACUCUCAUGAAACCAAGAUCCAUUCCAUAUCUUAGAAGGAGAAAGAAAUCAAGCUAAGGUAUAAUAAAAAUUUAUACUUGUGUAGGUUAAACUUCCUUAGUAUUUUGAUUUGAUUUUUGACAACUUGAAGUUGUGAUCUUGAGGUUUAAAACCUUAGAUCUAUGUAUAUAUAAGUGUUUCAUGUUUAGAUCUAACAAUAUUGGGUGUUGAUUUUGGUUGGAAUCAAAG
RNAcentral lists this long non-coding RNA (233 nucleotides) under Panax ginseng (ginseng). RNAcentral describes it as "long non-coding RNA (PGIN_LNC001638)". Lineage: Eukaryota; Viridiplantae; Streptophyta; Magnoliopsida; Apiales; Araliaceae. The record is from RNAcentral.